This is a long non-coding RNA of Priapulus caudatus, 2369 nucleotides long. RefSeq lists it as uncharacterized. NCBI's taxonomy places the organism in Eukaryota, Metazoa, Priapulida, Priapulimorpha, Priapulimorphida, Priapulidae. The transcript has 2 exons. The record is from RefSeq and is a predicted model, not a curated record.
UAUGCACGUGUUUAUGUGUUUGUAUGUGUUUCGCUUACAUGUAUGUGUAUCAAGAGUCCAUAAUAGAGUCCAGAUAAAUAGAGAACUUUCACUAUUUGGACUGUAGAGAAAAUUAUGGAUUCUUGAUGUGUAUACAUGUGUGUGUAUGUUUGUACAUGUACGUGUUGGAGGGUGCCGAGUUGAGAAUAGAAGGUUGUGGAUGAUCGAUCGGACAUGGUCCGUCAUGGUCGUCGCAGCGAGCGAACCGGAUGUAAAUAUGAAAUGUUCAUCGUUUGUGCGGUGUGGUGGGCAGUCACCACAUAUAUGUCCCCUCCCUCCUCGUGUUGCCCUUCUCUCCUCGUGUUGCCCUUCCCUCCCCUAGCUCUCCUCCUCCCUCUGCUACUGCUCCUCCCCAGGUGGUCUCUCCCUCUGCUACUGCUCCUCCCCAGGUGGUAUCCUCCCUCUGCUACUGCUCCUCCCCAGGUGGUAUCCUCCCUCUGCUACUACUCCUCCCCAGGUGAUAUCCUCCCUCUGCUACUGCUCCUCCCCAGGUGGUAUCCUCCCUCUGCUACUGCUCCUCCCCAGGAGGUAUCCUCCCUCUGCUACUGCUCCUCCCCAGGUGGUAUCCUCCCUCUGCUAGUGCUCCUCAUCAGGUGGUAUCCUCCCUCUGCUACUGCUCCUCCCCAGGUGAUGACAACCUCCACUUUUCCUCGUGCUGUAGGGGGGAGGGGGAGGGGGGGUGGAGGAGGAGGGACUUGUGUUUGUUGUUUAGGUGGUGUUCACAGGGAGCGUUAGAUAAGAGUUUUCCGCGAAGGGCAUUUGUAGGGCAUUGUUGUUGUUUGUUGUUGUUGUUGUUGUUUGUGAAAGAUUGAUUGAUCGUUGAUGAUCGCACGUGUGUGUUGUGAAUAAUAAUAGUUGCCGAUAUCUCGAUCGACGCGUUCUCGCUAAUAUGGCGGUUCGUAUUCGAAUAAGCGGUUGUGAUUCGCGGGUGCUCUUUUGAUCUUGAUGACGUCAUCAGUUCGUGACCGACGCCGUCCGGCUGGUGGCGCCCUCUAUAUGCAAGCUGCGAGUGGUGCUGUGCGCGUCGACCGUCCAUGUUUUUGGCAUUGUGCCAACGAAAGUUCUUGCCGCGUACAACGUUGCCAUGGCACCGGCUUCAUACUUUCUUACUUUCAUAAGGUGUUGUCGUCGCGUUCAUUCACGUCGCAUAUAUAUUUUUCUAGAGACCUUUCGUGAGUUCGAAGCGGGGAGAUUGAGGGGCUUGGGGAGUUUAGGGGGGUUUAGCCGUCCAGCAACGAAGACCGAGAUAAACAGAUGAACAGCUGUAAACAGAUGAACAGCUGUAAACAGAUGAACAGUUGUAAACAGAUGAACAGCUGUAAACAGAUGAACAGCUGUAAACAGAUGAACAGCUGUAAACAGAUGAACAGCUGUAAACAGAUGAACAGCUGUAAACAGAUGAACAGUUGUAAACAGAUAAACAGUUGUAAACAGAUAAACAGCUGUAAACAGAUAAACAGCUGUAAACAGAUGAACAGCUGUAAACAGAUGAACAGCUGUAAACAGAUGAACAGCUGUAAACAGAUGAACAGUUGUAAACAGAUGAACAAGAGAGCAAGUAUGAUGGAAUAUAUGUAUAUAUAUAGGAAGAGAGAAAGAGCGCGCGAGAGGGAGAGGGAGAGGGAGAGGGAGAGGAAGAGAGAGAGAUGUUACAGGUCGUUCGGUCCCUGGACGAUAAGUGUACAUUGUCUCGGAUGUUUUGCUCACGCGAGAUGCUGGUAGUGGUUAACACCGACGACGAUGAUGUAAUAGAAGGCAGACGAAGUGUCGAACGAGAGGUAAUACAUCGGAAAAAUUUGGAAGUUUGACUGGAUUCGUUUGCGAGACGUUGAUGUCUCGGUAACGCGUAUAUCUAAUAUACGCGUGCAGCUAGAAAUCGUUAGGCUGGUCUCGUAAGGGGGGCUCUAGUUACGCUCAUAGGGUCUAUGUCUCCCUGGGUACUGCCGGAACGUACCCUGGGUACGGUCCGGUAUACCGGAACGUACCCUGGGUACGUUCCGGCAGUACCCAGGGAGACAUAGACCCUGGCAGCUCUAGUUACUGUGUACUAUCCUAGACUACAGUGCUACUAUGUUGUAUUGCAAUAAUGACUGUAUAGUCACUGAAAGAAGUAGUUCCAGGCGCCAUACCGAGACGCCGUUUUGUAUCGUCCGUAAUAUGUAUUUUUGUUUUACACGGUUUAGCGUAUAUUACUACCACACGAUGCCUAAAAUUAUAUGUAGCCUGUUCGAUUGGUUGUACUAUAUAAAUAUAUAUGGGUGCGCGCGCGUGCCUGUGCGUGCGCGUGCGCGUGUUUCAUUUAUAAUAGCAAAUAAAAAUGUGUAACGAAA